Molecule: ribosomal RNA, 597 nt
Filed under: Pteridomonas danica
Lineage: Eukaryota; Dictyochophyceae; Pedinellales
Description: partial Bacterial large subunit ribosomal RNA
Rfam family: Bacterial large subunit ribosomal RNA
Source: RNAcentral
ACCCCGGGAGGGGAGUGAAAUAGAUCCUGAAACCGCAUGCAUACAAAAAGUCGGAGCCGCAAGGUGACGGCGUACCUUUUGUAUAAUGGGUCAGCGAGUUACUUUGACGAGCAAGCCUAAGCCGUUAGGCGUAAGCGAAGCGAAAGCGAGUCUGAAUAGGGCGUUUAGUUCGUUUGAGUAGACCCGAAACCGGGUGAUCUAGCCAUGGGCAGGUUGAAGGUACGGUAACACGUACUGAAGGACCGAACCCACGUCUGUUGAAAAAGACGGGGAUGACCUGUGGCUAGGGGUGAAAGGCCAAUCAAACCCGGCAAUAGCUGGUUCUCCGCGAAAGCUAUUUAGGUAGCGCGUCUGGUCUCACCUUCGGGGGUAGAGCACUGGAUGGGGAAGGGGGGCGCGAGCCUUACCGACUCUAACCAAACUCCGAAUACCGAAGAGUGCAAUCCAGGCAGACAGACGGCGGGUGCUAAGGUCCGUCGUCAAAAGGGAAACAGCCCUAACCUACAGCUAAGGUCCCCAAGUCAUAUCUAAGUGGGAAAGCAUGUGGGAAUCCCAAAACAACCAGGAGGUUGGCUUAGAAGCAGCCAUCCUUUAAAG